UGGGGAAUAUUGGACAAUGGGCGAAAGCCUGAUCCAGCCAUGCCGCGUGUGUGAAGAAGGUCUUCGGAUUGUAAAGCACUUUAAGUUGGGAGGAAGGGCAUUAACCUAAUACGUUAGUGUUUUGACGUUACCGACAGAAUAAGCACCGGCUAACUCUGUGCCAGCAGCCGCGGUAAUACAGAGGGUGCAAGCGUUAAUCGGAAUUACUGGGCGUAAAGCGCGCGUAGAUGGUUUGUUAAGUUGGAUGUGAAAUCCCCGGGCUCAACCUGGGAACUGCAUUCAAAACUGACGGACUAGAGUAUGGUAGAUGGUGGUUGAAUUUCCUGUGUAGCGGUGAAAUGCGUAGAUAUAGGAAGGAACACCAGUGGCGAAGGCGACCACCUGGACUAAUACUGACACUGAGGUGCGAAAGCGUGGGGAGCAAACA
RNAcentral lists this ribosomal RNA (427 nucleotides) under uncultured bacterium. Its description in RNAcentral is "partial 16S ribosomal RNA". It matches the Rfam family "Bacterial small subunit ribosomal RNA", at positions 355 to 774 of the family's 1533-position model. The record is from RNAcentral.